CCACGUUAAUUUUAACUUUAAUUAUAAAUUUAUAUACCGCCAUCUAAAAAACUAAUUUUAUAAUAAUAUUUUCAAUAAAAAAUAAAAAGUUAGGUCAAGGUGUAAUCUAUAUUAAAGUAAAUAAUGGGUUACAUUAAAAAUAAUUUAAGGAUUUUUAUGUUAAAAUAUAUUAUAAAAAAGGAUUUAAAAGUAAUAAAAUAAUAAUAUUUUAUUAUGAUUUGAUAAUAAAUGUGCACACAUCGCCCGUCCAA
RNAcentral lists this ribosomal RNA (251 nucleotides) under Pardosa astrigera. RNAcentral describes it as "partial 12S ribosomal RNA". Lineage: Eukaryota; Metazoa; Arthropoda; Arachnida; Araneae; Lycosidae. The record is from RNAcentral.